RNAcentral lists this transfer RNA (94 nucleotides) under Planctomycetota bacterium. RNAcentral's name for it is "Planctomycetes bacterium (sediment metagenome) tRNA-Ser". It matches the Rfam family "tRNA". Rfam says of the family: Transfer RNA (tRNA) molecules are approximately 80 nucleotides in length. Their secondary structure includes four short double-helical elements and three loops (D, anti-codon, and T loops). RNAcentral also lists the same sequence under 1 other name. Lineage: Bacteria; Pseudomonadati; Planctomycetota. The record is from RNAcentral.
GGAGAGGUGCCAGAGCGGCCGAAUGGGCCGGUUUCGAAAACCGGUGGAGGUGUUAUCACAUCUCCCGGGGGUUCGAAUCCCCCCCUCUCCGCCA